Molecule: long non-coding RNA, 361 nt
Organism: Onychostruthus taczanowskii (white-rumped snowfinch)
Lineage: Eukaryota; Metazoa; Chordata; Aves; Passeriformes; Passeridae
Exons: 3
Source: RefSeq, a predicted model, not a curated record
GGAGGCGGCCGAGGCCGCUCUGGCUGGGACUGAGCCCAUGGCCCUGGGCUGCUAGGGGUGCAGGGCAGGAGCGAGCCGAGCCGAGCCGAGCCGUGCCGUGCCGUGCCGUGCCGGGCCGGGCCGUGCAGAGCCGGGCCGGGAGCGAUGCCGCUGCAGACGGAGAUCCUGAGAGAGGUCUGGGCUGCCGACAGCCCCAGUGAAGAGCCGGGGAGCCCCCAGCAGCACAAACCCAAACAGCACCGUCCAUGAGGGCAGAAGCUGAAGAAGAAGAGGCAGGAGCCCGGGCUGGAGCCCGAGGCCAAACCACGGCGGCCGCGGGUGAAGAAGCUGAGUGAGGCAGGGGCUGCAGAGGAGCCCCCAG